AUUAUAAGAUGAGUUGGGAAAGUUUUUUCGCUAAAGGAUUGGGCUAUAUGGUAUCAGCUUGUUGGUGAGGUAACGGCUCACCAAGGCUAUGACGCCUAACUGGUCUGAGAGGAUGAUCAGUCACACUGGAACUGAGACACGGUCCAGACUCCUACGGGAGGCAGCAGUGGGGAAUAUUACACAAUGGAGGAAACUCUGAUGUAGCAACGCCGCGUGGAGGAUGACACAUUUCGGUGCGUAAACUCCUUUUAUAUGGGAAGAUAAUGACGGUACCAUAUGAAUAAGCACCGGCUAACUCCGUGCCAGCAGCCGCGGUAAUACGGAGGGUGCAAGCGCUACUCGGAAUCACUGGGCGUAAAGGGUGCGUAGGCUGGCUUCUAAGUCAGAUGUGAAAUCCAAUGGCUCAACCAUUGAACUGCAUUUGAAACUGGGAGCCUAGAGUUCAGAAGGGGCAGAUGGAAUUAGUGGUGUAGGGGUAAAAUCCGUAGAUAUCACUAGGAAUAUCAAAAGCGA
Molecule: ribosomal RNA, 513 nt
Filed under: uncultured Campylobacterota bacterium
Lineage: Bacteria; Pseudomonadati; Campylobacterota
Description: bacterial SSU rRNA
Rfam family: Bacterial small subunit ribosomal RNA
Source: RNAcentral